Molecule: small nuclear RNA, 185 nt
Filed under: Lacticaseibacillus paracasei
Lineage: Bacteria; Bacillati; Bacillota; Bacilli; Lactobacillales; Lactobacillaceae
Description: Lactobacillus paracasei rli28
Rfam family: Listeria sRNA rli28
Source: RNAcentral
GUUUGUGUGCUAUAAUAUUAUUGCAGAAAAGUUAAUGACGGUUGGCAAAUCCAAUCACAAAGAGGUGGUCGCCUAUGAAAGACGUCCAAAAUCUAAGUGAAGGGAGGUGCCUGUUUGUCCGUUGCUGAGGCAAUCACACUGAUGUUAGCAUUUGGCAGUUUCGUACUGUCACUUGUGAACACCUU